GGCUUGAACCUGGGAGGCGAGGGUUGCAGUGAGCUGAGAUCGCACCACUGCACUCCAGCCUGGGUGACAGAGCGAGACUUCGUCUCAAAAAAAAAAGAAGAAAGAAGGAAGCUGAGGUUCAGACAGGCUAAGUCCCUACUGCAGGCUGCGGAAUCUAAAAAGGUCAUGAACUCUGAGAGUUUGAGCUGAGCCUCUAAAAGCUGUAUCAAUAGCACCUUGCACUGUUGAAGCAGGUAAGUGUUUUCCUUGUUACUUCUUAAGUUCAGUUGGAAACCCAACAUAGCAAAUCCUCUGGAAUGCAGCUGAAGCAGUACUAAGGCUGGGUGUGGUGGCUCAUGCCUAUAAUCCUGUAGGGAGGCAAAAGCGGGAGGAUUGCUGGAGCCCAGGAGUUCAAGACCAGCCUGGGCAACACGGCAAGACCUGGUUCUCCACAAAAAGGAAAAAAAAAAUGCUAAGAGGCAAGUAUAUAGCAAUAAACUCCUACAUCAAAAAAGUAGAAACAUUUCAAAUAAGAGA
Molecule: long non-coding RNA, 516 nt
Filed under: Pan troglodytes (chimpanzee)
Lineage: Eukaryota; Metazoa; Chordata; Mammalia; Primates; Hominidae
Description: lincRNA
Source: RNAcentral